This 618-nucleotide long non-coding RNA is filed under the name Ananas comosus (pineapple). RNAcentral's name for it is "long non-coding RNA (ACOM_LNC010125)". Lineage: Eukaryota; Viridiplantae; Streptophyta; Magnoliopsida; Poales; Bromeliaceae. The record is from RNAcentral.
UGCAAGGGAAGAAAGAAAGAAAAGAGAAAAGAGAAAAGAGAAGAGAAGAAGAAAAAAAGAGAAAGGAAAGGAAAAGAAGAAGAGGACCAAGGAGGAGAUCCUCUUCCUCAUCUUCAUCUUCAUCUUCUUCUUCCCCUUGGAGCUCUGGGAGAGGUAAGCUUCCAAGCCCUCUCAUGGUAGAUUUUUUGUAACAUACCAGAUUUUGGUAUAAAAAUAAAAAAAAAUAAAAAUAGUGUGAGAAACUAUUUUUAUUGAAUUUGUAGGAGUAAAAUGUCACGCCCCGGGACCGGCGGAGGCCCUCCCGGUAGCGUGCCCAGACCCGCCAUAUGCCUACACAUAUAAGGCGUCUACAAGAAAAGCGGAAGUAAAAGCAAGAGAUGGAACAAAUAAAAGAAGUGAAAUAACUAGCAACUAAUGAUAUCAGAGCGAGUAAAGUUCUAACAUCUACACCAAUAGUAAUAGAACGUAACUAAAACAUAAAAGUAAACAUAAGUUAUACAGAAUCAGCCUCUAAUACAAAAAUGGUGGUCACUAGUACACGGGUAAAACUCUCAACCUUUCCAAAAUGAAAUACAACGAGAGGUAGACCACCUAGCAAAUCGUCCUCGAAGGAAGCUA